This 2381-nucleotide unclassified non-coding RNA is filed under the name Nilaparvata lugens (brown planthopper). RNAcentral's name for it is "uncharacterized LOC120350393, transcript variant X1". Lineage: Eukaryota; Metazoa; Arthropoda; Insecta; Hemiptera; Delphacidae. The record is from RNAcentral.
AAUCUCAAACAGCUGUUAGUUGAUAUUCAGCAUGACAGACUGUAGAAUGUAAACACAAAAUUUUGUUCCAGCCCACAAAAUUUAAUAGUUUCUUGAAAUAAGUAUUUUUAGAAUUUAUCUGUCUUCAAAAAAGAGAAAAUGAACAUUUAAUAUCCGAUUUGAUUAAUUUAAUUUUACUGCAACAUGUCAGAUAAGUUGACUACAGUUCUUGCUCACACAGUACUGGCGUUUUCGUCUGGUUACAGUCUAUCAAAUACAGAGUUUGGUUUUUCAACCAUUGGAUUAAGCUUGUAUUUUGCUACUGGUGUGAUGGGUGCUGUUAUUUACGGAGCUCGAGACAUUGGAGGGUCUAUUUAUAAACUCUUGAGUAACUUGUGGGUGCUUAGCAUAGCGUUUGGACUACCAUCGAUAUCUUCUCACCUUUAUGUCAUCAAUAAUUUCCCAGAAGCAGUGAUUGGACUUCAUUUUCUCCUACCAGCUGCUUUUGCCAUUAAUCUUUAUUUUUUCUCCAAAAGGACUAAUUUCAAAUUACUAGAAUCAAUUAAUUUGCCGUACUUAUUAUCGAUAGCUUAUUCAUGUUCUCAAACAAUGAAUUAUCAUGGGUUUGCAUUGGUUAUAAGUUAUGUUAUUGCUUUAUAUGCGAUUGGAACUACUGGUACUGUUAGGAAUAUGCCUUCAAGGGAUCUACUUAGUAUUUCUCUUGCAUUUUCCAAUUACUAUACUGUCAAAACUAUCAACUUUCGUAAUUAAGUGUUCUAAAAUUAAUGAACAGAAUGCUACCUGACUGAACAACAUUUUAAAAAUGUGUAGAUAGGUACCUAAUGGAAUCUAUUUUUGAUUACUUUUAUGUGGAAUAAUCUUUCAUGAUUGAAUGCUGUUUUCAGUGUGUUCAAUGUUAUUAUUAUUAUUGUAGCUGAAUUUUCAGAAGUUACUUAAUCUAUUUUAAAUACAAUUCAAGAAAUAUUUUUAGUCAUUACUGUAUGCCUACUACAAAGGCAGGAUAGGUUUAGAAAAACCGUAUCAAUUACUAGUCAAAAAAUAUUAUUUGUCAUGCUUGAUGAGUAUUUAUGGUUUUGUAGAGCAUAAAUCAUAGAAUAAUUUUUUUCCAUUGCUAUGCUGUUUCAUGAUAUCGUUAAACAUAACUCCAUUCAACUGUAGGCUUCAGCUACACCAUGCUUUGCUAUGGAGGUAGCACAAUGGAUCCAAAACACUAACUUAUCUAUUUGUAGUAAAAUGUUUUCCCUGUGCUCAAGUUAGUUGAUCAGUAACUGUCCAAUUCAUAUUUUAAAUGAUUUGAAUAUUGUAUGAAUUCACUACUAAUUAAUUCACCAAUUAGUAUAUUGCAUUUAUUUAGUAAAAUUGACUGCAACAUUUUUCACUUGAUUCACAAAUGUUGCACUGUAACCUUACUUUAUUAAAAAUAUGAAAUACAAUUCGUCACUUCUGCGCAUGUAACAAGUUUUAUAAUAAUAAUUAUUAAUUGUCUUAUCUAAUUCCUAUUAUUGUAGGCUAUUAUCUAAAAUGAUAGAACAUCUCUUUCAGACUUAAUUUCUGAUUCUGAUUUAGUUCAUGGCAUUUCAGUUCUAAGAGCAGCCAUUUAAUUGGUUGUAAGAGUAACCAAUUUAUUUCUAUCGUCGAUUAAAAAUUACUGAAUUAAUUUAGUAAAUGGGAAAAUUAAAAUUUUCAGAAUAAGAUUCAAAUCACUGCUCAUGAUUACAUAUGAACGGAAUUCAUUUGUAGUCAUAGAUGAACCAUAUUCAUAUUAACCCAUAAUUUAUUUUCUCAACCCAUAAUUUAAUCGCUCAAUCAAUUGAGAAUUUAAUCUGAGGAGCUAUGUUACAGGUCUUGAAAUGCGCGAUAGACACCUUUUAAGAGUGUAUCAAGAUAUAUGGAGUGCUUCCUACAUGUGUGGCUUUCCUCUGAUCGCAUUAGCUUACAAUAUGAAGUAUGAUAUGUGGCCUAUGCCUGCUUUGAUGGCAGCUCCAUUAUUUUUUGAGGCAUAUUUGAUCCUGAGAGGAGAUAUGCUGGAUGCAAAACUGAUCCAUCUUCAUCAUUUAUUAGCUGGUGUGGUCAAUAUUAUUGUGAGUAUGCGUUACAAUCUCGGUGGAUGUUUUCAUAAUGCUCUCUACCCUUUGGCAACUAUUAUUUACGGAGAAACACCUUACCCAACAACAGGCAAAAGAAGUUUGAAUUGGUUGGUUAUCACAAGCAUGGCAAAUUUUCUUUACACUGGUAUUUUUCAAUAAAUAUCGAAAUAAUGUUGUAAUCAAAGAAAGACUGGUUCAAUAAAAGUAUUUUAUUAUGUAUCUGAAUUCUCUGUGAUUUGUAUUUAUAUUUUGGAUCUGUAAAAAUCACAAAUUAAAACUUUUGAGAAGUGAAAA